This 206-nucleotide long non-coding RNA is filed under the name Elaeis guineensis (African oil palm). RNAcentral's name for it is "long non-coding RNA (EGUI_LNC073534)". Lineage: Eukaryota; Viridiplantae; Streptophyta; Magnoliopsida; Arecales; Arecaceae. The record is from RNAcentral.
ACUGGAAUUUGUAAUGGACUUUCGCUGCACAAUAGAUCUAAACUGUGCAAAUUUUAUGCAGUGUAAAUGAUAGUCCAUUCUCGAGUCAAGGUAAAUGAUAGUCCAUUCUCAAGUCAAGUAAAAGAUAGUCUAUUCUCAAGUCAAGUAAAUUUGCAAUCCAUUAUCAAAUCAAGUAAAUGGUAAUCCAUUCUCAAGUAAAUGGUGGU